Molecule: ribosomal RNA, 397 nt
Filed under: uncultured bacterium
Lineage: Bacteria
Description: partial 16S ribosomal RNA
Rfam family: Bacterial small subunit ribosomal RNA
Source: RNAcentral
AUACGUAGGUGGCGAGCGUUGUCCGGAAUUACUGGGCGUAAAGGAUGCGUAGGUGGAUACUUAAGUGGGAUGUGAAAUCCCCGGGCUCAACCCGGGAACUGCAUUCCAAACUGGGUAUCUAGAGUGCAGGAGAGGAAAGCGGAAUUCCUAGUGUAGCGGUGAAAUGCGUAGAUAUUAGGAGGAACACCAGUGGCGAAGGCGGCUUUCUGGACUGUAACUGACACUGAGGCAUGAAAGCGUGGGUAGCAAACAGGAUUAGAUACCCUGGUAGUCCACGCCGUAAACGAUGGGUACUAGGUGUAGGAGGUAUCGACCCCUUCUGUGCCGCAGUAAACACAGUAAGCAUUCCGCCUGGGGAGUACGGUCGCAAGAUUAAAACUCAAAGGAAUUGGCGGGG